GAUGAACGCUGGCGGCGUGCCUAAUACAUGCAAGUCGAGCGAACAGACGAGGAGCUUGCUCCUCUGACGUUAGCGGCGGACGGGUGAGUAACACGUGGAUAACCUACCUAUAAGACUGGGAUAACUUCGGGAAACCGGAGCUAAUACCGGAUAAUAUAUUGAACCGCAUGGUUCAAUAGUGAAAGACGGUUUUGCUGUCACUUAUAGAUGGAUCCGCACCGCAUUAGCUAGUUGGUAAGGUAACGGCUUACCAAGGCAACGAUGCGUAGCCGACCUGAGAGGGUGAUAGGCCACACUGGAACUGAGACACGGUCCAGACUCCUACGGGAGGCAGCAGUAGGGAAUCUUCCGCAAUGGGCGAAAGCCUGACGGAGCAACGCCGCGUGAGUGAUGAAGGUCUUCGGAUCGUAAAACUCUGUUAUUAGGGAAGAACAAAUGUGUAAGUAACUAUGCACGUCUUGACGGUACCUAAUCAGAAAGCCACGGCUAACUACGUG
This 497-nucleotide ribosomal RNA is filed under the name uncultured bacterium. Its description in RNAcentral is "partial 16S ribosomal RNA". It matches the Rfam family "Bacterial small subunit ribosomal RNA", at positions 28 to 507 of the family's 1533-position model. The record is from RNAcentral.